GCGUCUGUAGCUCAGGGGAUAGAGCACCGCUCUCCUAAAGCGGGUGUCGACGGUUCGAAUCCGCCCAGGCGCACCA
Molecule: transfer RNA, 76 nt
Filed under: Coriobacteriaceae bacterium
Lineage: Bacteria; Bacillati; Actinomycetota; Coriobacteriia; Coriobacteriales; Coriobacteriaceae
Also listed under: 4 other names
Description: tRNA-Arg
Rfam family: tRNA
About the family: Transfer RNA (tRNA) molecules are approximately 80 nucleotides in length. Their secondary structure includes four short double-helical elements and three loops (D, anti-codon, and T loops).
Source: RNAcentral